UGGGGAAUUUUGGACAAUGGGCGCAAGCCUGAUCCAGCCAUGCCGCGUGUGUGAAGAAGGCCUUCGGGUUGUAAAGCACUUUCGGCCGGAACGAAAUCGCGCGGGCGAAUAUCCUGCGUGGAUGACGGUACCGGAAGAAGAAGCACCGGCUAACUACGUGCCAGCAGCCGCGGUAAUACGUAGGGUGCGAGCGUUAAUCGGAAUUACUGGGCGUAAAGCGUGCGCAGGUGGUCUCGCAAGUCGAGUGUGAAAGCCCCGGGCUUAACCUGGGAAUUGCGCUCGAAACUACGGGACUGGAGUGUGGCAGAGGGAGGUGGAAUUCCACGUGUAGCGGUGAAAUGCGUAGAGAUGUGGAGGAACACCGAUGGCGAAGGCAGCCUCCUGGGCCAACACUGACACUCAGGCACGAAAGCGUGGGGAGCAAACAG
This 428-nucleotide ribosomal RNA is filed under the name uncultured bacterium. Its description in RNAcentral is "bacterial SSU rRNA". It matches the Rfam family "Bacterial small subunit ribosomal RNA", at positions 355 to 775 of the family's 1533-position model. The record is from RNAcentral.